AACGAACGCUGGCGGCAUGCCUAACACAUGCAAGUCGAACGAGACCUUCGGGUCUAGUGGCGCACGGGUGCGUAACGCGUGGGAACCUGCCCUUAGGUUCGGAAUAACUCCCCGAAAGGGGUGCUAAUACCGGAUAAUGUCAUCGGACCAAAGAUUUAUCGCCUUUGGAUGGGCCCGCGUUGGAUUAGCUAGUUGGUAGGGUAAAAGCCUACCAAGGCGACGAUGCAUAGCUGGUCUGAGAGGAUGAUCAGCCACACUGGGACUGAGACACGGCCCAGACUCCGACGGGAGGCAGCAGUGGGGAAUAUUGGACAAUGGGCGAAAGCGUGAUCCAGCAAUGCCGCGUGAGUGAUGAAGGCCUUAGGGUUGUAAAGCUCUUUUACCCGGGAUGAUAAUGACAGUACCGGGAGAAUAAGCUCCGGCUAACUCCGUG
This 433-nucleotide ribosomal RNA is filed under the name uncultured bacterium. RNAcentral describes it as "partial 16S ribosomal RNA". It matches the Rfam family "Bacterial small subunit ribosomal RNA", at positions 29 to 507 of the family's 1533-position model. The record is from RNAcentral.